This 72-nucleotide transfer RNA is filed under the name Nanorana taihangnica (Taihangshan swelled-vented frog). RNAcentral's name for it is "tRNA-Leu". The record is from RNAcentral. Lineage: Eukaryota; Metazoa; Chordata; Amphibia; Anura; Dicroglossidae.
GCUUUUAAUGGAAAAAAGCCUUCCACUGGUUUUAGGGGCCAGCCUCUCCCGGUGCAAGUCCGAGUAAAAGCU